CCCGGGACACAGAGGUACAAACAAUAGACCAUCAACUCUGAAAACCAAAAGUAAGUAAAAUAGAAACAUGGAUUACGAAAAAUAUGCAGGGGUGACAUCAGAGAGUGAAAAGAACUUGCUUCUUGUAAGACACUUUCAGUGAAAACAAUUUGAUAUGAAGACAAUCAUAUGAAGACAAUCUUUUGUUUUAGUUUUUUUUUU
This 201-nucleotide long non-coding RNA is filed under the name Mytilus galloprovincialis (Mediterranean mussel). The record is from RNAcentral. Lineage: Eukaryota; Metazoa; Mollusca; Bivalvia; Mytilida; Mytilidae.